AGGGCAGUGGCUCAGUGGUAGAGCUUCCCGCUUGGUACGCGGGAAGACCUGGGUUUGAUUUCCGGCUGCUUCC
Molecule: transfer RNA, 73 nt
Filed under: Toxocara canis (dog roundworm)
Lineage: Eukaryota; Metazoa; Nematoda; Chromadorea; Rhabditida; Toxocaridae
Rfam family: tRNA
About the family: Transfer RNA (tRNA) molecules are approximately 80 nucleotides in length. Their secondary structure includes four short double-helical elements and three loops (D, anti-codon, and T loops). Further hydrogen bonds mediate the characteristic L-shaped molecular structure. tRNAs have two regions of fundamental functional importance: the anti-codon, which is responsible for specific mRNA codon recognition, and the 3' end, to which the tRNAs corresponding amino acid is attached (by aminoacyl-tRNA synthetases). tRNAs cope with the degeneracy of the genetic code in two manners: having more than one tRNA (with a specific anti-codon) for a particular amino acid; and 'wobble' base-pairing, i.e. permitting non-standard base-pairing at the 3rd anti-codon position.
Source: Rfam by way of RNAcentral